Molecule: unclassified non-coding RNA, 567 nt
Filed under: Hevea brasiliensis (rubber tree)
Lineage: Eukaryota; Viridiplantae; Streptophyta; Magnoliopsida; Malpighiales; Euphorbiaceae
Source: RNAcentral
CGUGGAUUUUCAUGUAAAAGCUUGCUGUUUAUACAACACAAAAUUGAAAAGGGGGGAAAAUCCAAUAAAUCCCAGAACAAAAUUACAUUAUAAUCAAAGAGACAUAAUGAUAGCUUUAAAAGCCCAAUGGUCCCAACAGAAAUGGUCCAUUCACAAGAACAAAGAGGAUUUGAGUAAUCCACAAAUUUGUUGAACUCCCACUUGGUUACUUAUUAUUGAAUUUGACAAAGAUGCCUCAUUAUGUUGUAAAGAUUUAUAAAUAAGAUAUCAAUUGUUUGCUUAUUGCCACAAGGACAAAAAUGAAAUUCUUACUACCUUUGCCAACAACAUUUUGAAAGAAUUGAAGAACUCUCUCAAAAUUAAUAAUGACAUUCAAAAUGCAAUAAGAAAAAGUUCAAGGAGAUAGUUUUCUUUGUCUUGAAGUAUCUAGAAAGGAAAAGUUUUGUCCAGUAUUCACGGCUGUUUUUGGGGGGCUAAUUCUCCUUAAACAUUCUCCAUUACAUUAUAAAAUAUAUAUAUAUAUAUAUUAGCCAAUUUAACAGCUACCUACUAUGUUAAUCUUCCAGU